CCAAGGGUGACGGAGUGGCCAAUCGUACUAGACUGUAAAUCUAGCGGUCUUAUGACCUACGGAGGUUCGAAUCCUCCCCCUUGGA
RNAcentral lists this transfer RNA (85 nucleotides) under Candidatus Roizmanbacteria bacterium CG10_big_fil_rev_8_21_14_0_10_45_7. Its description in RNAcentral is "tRNA-Tyr". It matches the Rfam family "tRNA". Rfam says of the family: Transfer RNA (tRNA) molecules are approximately 80 nucleotides in length. The record is from RNAcentral. Lineage: Bacteria; Candidatus Roizmaniibacteriota.